GCGUGUGGGGCUCAGUUGGUAAAGUGCUUGCCUGGCAUGCAUGGGGUUGUGGGUUCAAGCCUUACCACUGCA
Molecule: transfer RNA, 72 nt
Filed under: Rattus norvegicus (Norway rat)
Lineage: Eukaryota; Metazoa; Chordata; Mammalia; Rodentia; Muridae
Rfam family: tRNA
About the family: Transfer RNA (tRNA) molecules are approximately 80 nucleotides in length. Their secondary structure includes four short double-helical elements and three loops (D, anti-codon, and T loops). Further hydrogen bonds mediate the characteristic L-shaped molecular structure. tRNAs have two regions of fundamental functional importance: the anti-codon, which is responsible for specific mRNA codon recognition, and the 3' end, to which the tRNAs corresponding amino acid is attached (by aminoacyl-tRNA synthetases). tRNAs cope with the degeneracy of the genetic code in two manners: having more than one tRNA (with a specific anti-codon) for a particular amino acid; and 'wobble' base-pairing, i.e. permitting non-standard base-pairing at the 3rd anti-codon position.
Source: Rfam by way of RNAcentral